GUGAACGCUGGCGGCGUGCUUAACACAUGCAAGUCGAACGGUAACAGGAAAUAGCUUGCUAUUUUGCUGACGAGUGGCGCACGGGUGAGUAAACUAUAGUUAAUGUACCCCAAAGACUGGGAUAGCCACUGGAAACGGUGAUUAAUACUAGAUACACCUUCAUAUCAUAAGGUAUGAAGGGAAAUGUCUUUUCGCUUUGGGAUCAGACUAUAUCCUAUCAGCUAGUUGGUGAGGUAAUGGCUCACCAAGGCAAUGACGGGUAGCGGUUCUGAGAGGAUGAUCCGCCACACUGGUACUGAGACACGGACCAGACUCCUACGGGAGGCAGCAGUGAGGAAUAUUGCACAAUGGGCGAAAGCCUGAUGCAGCAACGCCGCGUGGAGGAUGACGCAUUUCGGUGUGUAAACUCCUUUUAUAUGUCAAGAAAAUGACGGUAGCAUAUGAAUAAGCACCGGCUAACUCCGU
This 465-nucleotide ribosomal RNA is filed under the name uncultured bacterium. RNAcentral describes it as "bacterial SSU rRNA". It matches the Rfam family "Bacterial small subunit ribosomal RNA", at positions 29 to 506 of the family's 1533-position model. The record is from RNAcentral.